CAUCGAGUCUUUGAACGCAAGUUGCGCUCGAGGCCGUCAGGCUAAGGGCACGCCUGCCUGGGCGUUGUGUACUGUGUCUCUCCCACCAAUGGUUGUCCAAGAAUACCGUUCGGUCGGUGCGGAUGUGAGUUUGGCCCCUUGUUCUUCGGUUCAAUGGGUCUAAGACCUCG
This 170-nucleotide ribosomal RNA is filed under the name Mexipedium xerophyticum. Its description in RNAcentral is "5.8S ribosomal RNA". The record is from RNAcentral. Lineage: Eukaryota; Viridiplantae; Streptophyta; Magnoliopsida; Asparagales; Orchidaceae.